RNAcentral lists this ribosomal RNA (253 nucleotides) under uncultured bacterium. RNAcentral's name for it is "partial 16S ribosomal RNA". It matches the Rfam family "Bacterial small subunit ribosomal RNA", at positions 524 to 776 of the family's 1533-position model. The record is from RNAcentral.
UACGGAGGGUGCGAGCGUUGUCCGGAAUCACUGGGCGUAAAGGGCGCGUAGGCGGCAUGCCAAGCGUGUGGUGAAAGCCCGGGGCUCAACUGGGGAGGGUCACGCGAUACUGAUCGACUCGAAGGCAGGAGAGGGUAGUGGAAUUCCCGGUGUAGUGGUGAAAUGCGUAGAUAUCGGGAGGAACACCAGUGGCGAAGGCGACCACCUGGCCUGUUCUUGACGCUGAGGCGCGAAAGCUAGGGGAGCAAACGGG